This 460-nucleotide ribosomal RNA is filed under the name uncultured bacterium. RNAcentral describes it as "partial 16S ribosomal RNA". It matches the Rfam family "Bacterial small subunit ribosomal RNA", at positions 338 to 795 of the family's 1533-position model. The record is from RNAcentral.
CCUACGGUGAGCAGCAGUGAGGAAUAUUGGUCAAUGGACGCAAGUCUGAACCAGCCAUGCCGCGUGCAGGAAGACGGCUCUAUGAGUUGUAAACUGCUUUUGUACGAGGGUAAACGCAGAUACGCGUAUCUGUCUGAAAGUAUCGUACGACUAAGGAUAGGCUAACUCCGUGCCAGCAGCCGCGGUAAUACGGAGGAUUCAAGCGUUAUCCGGAUUUAUUGGGUUUAAAGUGUGCGUAGGCGGUCGGAUAAGUUAGUGGUGAAAUCCAGAGGCUCAACUUCGGAAUUGCCGCUGAUACUGUUCGGCUAGAGAGUAGUUGCGGUAGGCGGAAUGUAUGGUGUAGCGGUGAAAUGCUUAGAGAUCAUACAGAACACCGAUUGCGAAGGCAGCUUACCAAGCUACUUCUGACGUUGAGGCACGAAAGCGUGGGGAGCAAACAGGAUUAGAUACCCGAGUAGUC